Molecule: long non-coding RNA, 1580 nt
Organism: Lathyrus oleraceus (garden pea)
Lineage: Eukaryota; Viridiplantae; Streptophyta; Magnoliopsida; Fabales; Fabaceae
Exons: 5
Source: RefSeq, a predicted model, not a curated record
UAUGGCCCUUAACUAUUCCUUUUUGCCAUUGUGGUCUUCUUUUUCUGUCAACUGAUAUGACAGGGCAUUUCCUCACAACUUCCAGAAAUUUAAGCUUCUCUUGGUUUAUGCAAAUAACGUGAUUCUAUUGCACUCGCAUGAAGCUGUUAUGCAGUCCAUGUCGGUCUGUUGUGGAAUGGAUAAAACAUUUCUAGGAUGUGAUUGUGUUGGACUUGGCUGUUAUCCUAUUUGGUCUUUGUGUCAUCAUUUUUUCACUUCUAUAACACUUCCUGCAUGAUCUCCAACUGCCCCUUGGGAAGAUAUUACUGACUGGGAGUCAAUCCUUGCCGGCAAUGAAGUAGAAAACUUCAUCCACAUCCAUUGCAGAAGUUAAUUGAGACUUUGAGUCUGCUUCUGUAGACAGUCGUUUUCUAGCUUGCUGCUAUCUGAGAGCAUGGAGUCAGGCACAAUUUCAUCAUUCCUUGGUGUUUCUAUUGGAUUAGGUAGCUCAACUGGUAAACUGGAUUCGCUGGACUAUUGAACUCGAUUCUUUUCAGAGGGACAAGAAUCAGACACACUUCCUUCACCCUUCUGGUCAGCAGAUGUGUAUAUAUUUGAAAAGAAUAUGAACUUCAUUACAAAUUUUUUGGAUUAACUUUGAUAACAAUGCUACAUUUGAUGGUACACCGAGACAUUGCACUUGUAUAUGAGUUAACCGAAGUCGAUCUCAACUUGGCCAAUACGUGGUUCGUUGGUUGUUUCGCUUGUGGCUUGGAUCGCUGUUGUAUCACGUGGGAUGCUGCCUUUUGCAAACUGUCAUCGGAUUUGCGUUUUGAUCUUAGCAGUUAAUCAACGGAUGCGCAACAUGAAGCGUUGCAGUUUAGUGCAUUGGGAUGCUAUCAUUCCAACUCACCAUAGUAUUGCCAAUCCUGUGCUCAAUAUCACCAAUAACGAUAGCAGGCGAUAACAAGUAAUGCGAUAUUCAUACAGCUAGGUUAACGAUGCAGUGGAUUUACUGAUGUUUGAAUUACCAACAGUGGCUCGGUGUUGUGGCUUCGCUCGCAGCUUUGGAUUCUUUUCACUGAUGUGCCACUGCUUAGUUCUGUGCAUGCUGUUGUUUUGGUUAUUCCACAGGUUAUGCUCAAUGCUGGCUAUGGAAAGCAAAAUGCAUAAACCUUCAGAAGAACAAGCCACACUGCGGAACCUCUGUCUUCUAACGGGAGAGCAAGAGUUCGUGAAAUCCAUGGCAACCGAACUUUAUGCAAAUUGUAAUCCAAAGUAUUGCCAUAGGUCCCUUUCAAUGUCUUAUGACAGUUAUGCAUUGUAGAGAAAUGUAAAUUACUGAAGCGGUAUCGAUGGAACUUAGGAUGUAACUUCAGCUUUGGGUUUUGAAUGCAUUUGAGAAUAGUGGCUUGGAGUCACCUGGUGGAUGUAUUUGGUUUAACACACUGUAAUGAGUUGUUGCAUAGAAUAUGAUGCGUAGGGCCUAUUGAAUGGUUUAGUUUUAAAUUUGUAAUUGAAUUUUGGUUAAUGUAAAUGAGUGGAAUUUUUAUGUGAUUUUGAUAGGAUGGAUGAGUUGUAUGGAAUUUCUGAACAUUGAA